This 427-nucleotide ribosomal RNA is filed under the name uncultured bacterium. RNAcentral's name for it is "bacterial SSU rRNA". It matches the Rfam family "Bacterial small subunit ribosomal RNA", at positions 355 to 774 of the family's 1533-position model. The record is from RNAcentral.
UGAGGAAUAUUGGACAAUGGGCGCAAGCCUGAUCCAGCAAUGCCGCGUGCAGGAUGAAGGCCUUCGGGUUGUAAACUGCUUUUGUACGGAGCGAAGAGGUCUGCCCUAAUACGGUGGGCUCAUGACGGUACCGUAAGAAUAAGCACCGGCUAACUACGUGCCAGCAGCCGCGGUAAUACGUAGGGUGCGAGCGUUAAUCGGAAUUACUGGGCGUAAAGCGUGCGCAGGCGGUUAUAUAAGACAGAUGUGAAAUCCCCGGGCUCAACCUGGGACCUGCAUUUGUGACUGUAUAGCUAGAGUACGGUAGAGGGGGAUGGAAUUCCGCGUGUAGCAGUGAAAUGCGUAGAUAUGCGGAGGAACACCGAUGGCGAAGGCAAUCCCCUGGACCUGUACUGACGCUCAUGCACGAAAGCGUGGGGAGCAAACA